UCAAUUCAGGUCAGUGGACUUGUCAAUUCAGAAAUAGCUGUUAAGACCUCCUGGAAAUAUAUUAUCUUCAAAAUGUCCCCAGUUAGCUACAUUGCAGUGAAUUUAAUAUAUAAAACAUUAAAAAAUAUAAAAUUUUAAUACUUUUGUUGGUGUUAAUUAUACUUCAUAAUCAAAAUUGAAAUCAAAUUAAGACUGCUGAUGUGGCGGUUGACAUGACAUGAAUAUUAAUAUUUUAAUAUUAUAUUAGAAUUAAAUUAUACUAAUAUAAAUAAUGUAUAUUAUUUACUAAGUUUAUUUAUUAUAAUAUAUAAAAAAUAAAUAAAUAAAUAUAUUAAGUUUUUAUUUAUUAAAUAGUACUAAUAUAAAUAAUGCAUUAUAUUUACUUAAUUUAUUUAUUAUAAUAUAUAAAAAUAAAUAAAUAUAUUAAAUUUAACCAUUAUAAAUAAAUAAAUAAUACUAAAAUAAAUAAUUUAUUUGACCACUCGAUUUUUUCUUUGACCACUGUAAAUUAAAUUUUUUAAAUAUUUCAAACAAUAAAAAAUAUAUAAAAAUAUUAUUUAAAAAUUAUUUUUUAUAAAACAAACGGAGGCUUAGAUUGUUUUCAUAUUUUUUUAAUCCUCUCCUUUUCCUUCUUUCAUAUCAUAUUUUUGUUAUUGAACUUAAGUUAUAAUUUAUAAACGUCAUGUGUGUCAGCAGAUUUUGUCUAUUUAUUUUUCAGUUAUGAUUUUUGUCUUGAUUAAAUAAGAUAUUGAAUAUGAGAUAUUUAUUUCGUAAUAAUAGUAUAAUUUUAAUACUUUUUCGUCCUAUAAUUUUUAUUUAUUUUAUCUUUUUAUACAUAUUAAGAAAUAUAAUUUUUUAUUUACUUUUUAAUUAUAUAAAUUUUAAAUAUAUUAAAUUUUAUUAAAUAUUAAAAAAUAUUUUUCAUUGCAGGAUGUGUAUGUUGUUGGAGGACACAUUAGCAGCAGCAAUUUAGACAAGGGAAAUGUGUUGACCAUCCAUUCUAAUGAAUAUACAGAAAUGAACAUGUUUCUUGAUCCCUUGCUGCAAAGACAGUUUUUGAGUCACCCCCAAAUAUCAACGCCCAACGCAAAACAAAUUCAUUUUCUAAGAUCCUGCAAAAGCUGAGGAAGACAAACAGUACACUAGAGGCGUCGUUUGCCCUCCAUUUUCUGUCAAGGCUUUAUCGUUGCAACAAACUCAUCACAGAUAUAAUCAUUGAAGAACCAAAAAAAAUUUUCACCGCAUAACACGACUGCAGAACUUCUCCAUCAGAUAAUUCGAUAAAUUGAUAUAUUAAUUUUAGAUUUAUUUUAAAUUUUAUGAAUAUUGUUAAGUAUUAUGAACAUGAAUUAUAAUUUUAUUAUGAAUGAUGUUUGAUUUAUAUUAAAUAUGAUUUUUAAUUAUAAAUUAUUUAAUUACAUAGGAAAUAUCUAAAUAAAAGCAAAAAAUUAUUUUUUUUAUCGAAUUUUACGGAUUAGCAAUGGAUUUAUAAGAAAUUUUUGUUAAAAAUGUAAUAAUAUUGCAACGGAUUUCCAACAGAAAUUUUCUAUCGCUAAUUAUCUGUUGAAAUAGAUUAGCGACGGAUUAAUUGGGAACAAUUGUAAACUCAAUUGUAAACUCAAUUUGAUAUUAAGAUCAGAAAUUGAAAAUUUAUAUAUAAUAAUGCGCUUUAAAAAUAUUUUAUGCACAUGAUAUUCCCAUUGAAGAUCUGAAAUUUAAAUUACCAAAAAAUUGUAUAAUUUACCCCUUACAUUUUCACUUAAAGUCAAAUUACCCUUCAACUGUAUUUUUAUCAUAUUUAUCAUUUUAAUAUUAAAAUUCGUAAUAAAAAUUAAAUUAUUCUACCAUUUAAAAGUUUAAAGGUUAAAGAGAUUAGAUAAAAAAUAAAAUAAAAUUAAGGAUAAAACACUUUUUUUUUUAUAAAAAAGUGAACGAGAAAAUUAUAAAUUUAAUUUUUAAAUUUUAUACCCAUAACAUGACAUUCAAAACUGAUAAAUUCAAGGUUAAAAACAUUUAUAUUAUUAAAAGAAAAAAAAAAAAGAAAAAAAGGAUGUGAAUGUUGAUCCUUUCUUGCCUUAUCGUGUGGGUGUAUAUAUUGAUGGAUUGAAAUGGCUCACCAAGUCUCCAUUUUCUUCUUUAUUUCCAACGCAGAAGAUGAGAAUUUUCAUUCUCAGCUGGAGAUUGCUGUGGGAUUAGAAUCGAACCCAGACGCCAUUUUUUCUGCAACUGAAGGAAAGCAACAGUCUUGAGAUAACCAAGAAGCUGCAUUAUUGCUCCAAGGAGACUCCAUAACCACCAACAGAAGAUACAGGCAAACAAAUACAAAGAUUGCAGAAGAAACACACAUCUCCUCUGAGAAACUUGAAGCCACCAUUUCCAUUGACAUGUAUAGAGAGAGAGAACUGAAGAUGAGAGAAAAUGGAAAUCCUUACUUGUUAAUUAUAGGAGAAAAUGAGAAGGGGAAGUUCAAUGUAUGAAGAAAGAUUAUUAACAGUGAAAAAAGAAGAGAUGGG
RNAcentral lists this long non-coding RNA (2513 nucleotides) under Manihot esculenta (cassava). Its description in RNAcentral is "long non-coding RNA (MESC_LNC002080)". Lineage: Eukaryota; Viridiplantae; Streptophyta; Magnoliopsida; Malpighiales; Euphorbiaceae. The record is from RNAcentral.